GAACCAUGAAAACUUGGAUUAAGGGAAUUCUGGGAGCAAGGGCUCUUAGAAGCAGAAAAUUCCCAAACAACUAUCCCAUCGUCCCAGAGGACAUGAGCCCUGCGUUCUUCCCACCACCCGGCCUCUCAGAACAAACCAGGCCCUAGUGGGCAUCGGUCCACGCAGCCCCUGCCUUGGGGCCAGUUCUCUGUGCCUGGAACAGCAGAGGCGGGAAGGAAGGGGGAAGAGAGGGUGCACUUCUGAGCAAACCAAAAGAGCUGAGCGCCUCUCCUCCAGGCCCUGGGCUGCAGCCUUUGCCAAGAGAAAGAAGAAGGAAAAGAAAGCCAUUGAUGCCACAGGUCCGGGCAGCAGCCUGUGCUAUGAUGGUGUCUCCCAGUCACUAGAACCGGAAGCUUGGUCUGAGGCCUCCUCACCCCUGCUCUCCGCACUGCUCCGGAAAGGCCAGCGCAGCGUGGCACUCAGGUGAGGGGGGCCCUGUGCUGCGCUGUGGCCUCACUCCUUGGUCCCACCAGGCAUGGGUCUGCCUGAGUUCCCUGCAGCCCCACCAGUCAUCUCGCACCCUCACGGCUCCCCUCUCUGCACCCCUCCCCUCCUCCCUCCUUCCCUGGCCAGGGCACCCUCGUCCCUGAGGCCUCAGCUGAGACCACCUGCUGGGACUGGUGCCUCCCCUCUGCAGCUGCCACCCCACGGCAGGGGUGGGCGCAGCGUGGGUGCCCACCUCUGAGGCUGGGCUGGGUCUCACAGAGGCUGGAUCUUGGGCCAGUAUCCACUGGGAACAGCUGCUGAGCGCCCACUGCGGGUCUCAGCCCCUCACGUGCCUUCACUCCCCAAAUCCCGGCCACAGGGAUAGGAGGCGGGGUCUUGUCUGAUCAGCCUCACUUUUCAGAUCAUGAGACUGAGGCCCAGGGUGGCUAAAUUGCUUCCUCAAGGUGACACAGUGAGUGGCAGAGCUGGGACGGGACCCUGAGAGUCCGGCUCCAGAGGCCGUGUGCUGUCCCGUGAGGUCACACGGUCGCAGGAGGGGAAGGACAGACGGUCCGGGCCGCCAGCCCUGGGGGGUCUGGGGCACCAGGAGCCGGAGACCACCUGGCUCAACCCCUGAGCCGCAAGAGGGCACGUCCCUUGUUUCAGGAGCCCCCACAUACCCUAGACACAGAGAACACGCAGUCACACCCAGACAGGGAGCGCGGGCAGACCCCGCCACCCAGGCCGCUUCGCUUCAGCCUUUCUGAGACCGGCUUGGAGGAGGCGGCGGCCCCGGGCCUCUCCGCUCCCGCCCGCGCGCCAGGGCUCAGCCCAUCCUGGCCCCUCCGCAAGCCCGGAGAACUGAGGCUGCGACCACAGGCAUGCGGAGGCCAGCCGGUGAGUCGGCUCUACGGUGGAGCGGGGUCGGUGCCGCCAAGGAGAAGGAGCGCUGUCCCCAGGGCGGGCGGGAGAGGAUGUCUCUGCCCCUUUGGGAGGAGACACCGGGAAGAGGGGAG
This 1481-nucleotide long non-coding RNA is filed under the name Equus caballus (horse). Its description in RNAcentral is "lncRNA (ENSECAG00000051926.1)". Lineage: Eukaryota; Metazoa; Chordata; Mammalia; Perissodactyla; Equidae. The record is from RNAcentral.